Molecule: ribosomal RNA, 253 nt
Filed under: uncultured bacterium
Lineage: Bacteria
Description: partial 16S ribosomal RNA
Rfam family: Bacterial small subunit ribosomal RNA
Source: RNAcentral
UACGUAGGUGGCAAGCGUUGUCCGGAUUUACUGGGCGUAAAGAGCGCGCAGGCGGUCGUUCAAGUCGAGUGUGAAAGCCCCCGGCUCAACUGGGGAGGGUCACUCGAUACUGAUCGACUCGAAGGCAGAAGAGGGAAGCGGAAUUCCCGGUGUAGUGGUGAAAUGCGUAGAGAUCGGGAGGAACACCCGUGGCGAAGGCGGCUCACUGGGCUGACCUUGACGCUGAGGCGCGAAGGCGUGGGGAGCGAACGGG